Molecule: ribosomal RNA, 253 nt
Filed under: uncultured bacterium
Lineage: Bacteria
Description: partial 16S ribosomal RNA
Rfam family: Bacterial small subunit ribosomal RNA
Source: RNAcentral
UACAGAGGGCGCGAGCGUUGUCCGGAAUCACUGGGCGUAAAGGGCGCGUAGGCGGCUAGAUGUGUCAAAGGUGAAAUCCCUCGGCUCAACCGAGGAACUGCGUCUGAUACUGGAAGGCUUGAAUCCGGGAGAGGGAUGUGGAAUUCCAGGUGUAGCGGUGAAAUGCGUAGAUAUCUGGAGGAACACCGGUGGCGAAGGCGGCAUCCUGGACCGGUAUUGACGCUGAGGCGCGAAAGCUAGGGGAGCAAACGGG